Long non-coding RNA from Capsicum annuum, 3018 nucleotides. RefSeq lists it as uncharacterized. The transcript has 4 exons. Lineage: Eukaryota; Viridiplantae; Streptophyta; Magnoliopsida; Solanales; Solanaceae. The record is from RefSeq and is a predicted model, not a curated record.
AGACAUCCUUGGCAUUAAGUGGGUGGGUUUAGGAUGCUUUGGUGGGCGUCUUCACACUUUAAUAAGUAUAGGCCCUUAGAUGGGCUCACAAGGCAUCACACACGGCCAAGGAUGUGAACAAGGCAAAGCUUGGAGUUGUUGCAACUCACGUACUUUACUUCGUAUGAAAGGUCUCGAGCUAGGAAUUUCGGUAUUACUAAUAAACACUAUGAUAAAAAGUCUCGGUUGGAGCUUCUAUCUAUUGACUUUAUUUUGCUUGUGUCUUUCCCAGACCAUUGUCGUCAUUUCCUUAUUUUAUCACUAAGCUUCUUCUUCAUCUCUGGUGAGCUUAACAUGGUCAUGAGAGCUGGUAGAGAAAGCUUAAUUGGAGACGUGAAACUCGUUGGUGCCAUCUUGGCUUGUCCUUUCCUAUUGAUCCCAUCGGUAGAAAAUAUUGAGCAAGCUUUGACUUACAAGCUUUGAAAUAUCAUUUGUCCACCAUCUGAACCUGGAAUUGAUAGUUCUUGAGCCAAACAUGAUACAUGAUUAUGCACAAGAAUUGAUGUUAGCCUAUUAUACCUUAGAAGUCAAUGCCGGAAAAACUAUCUUACCUACUCUCUGUUGUUUUCACUAUUGGUCCUCGGACUGAUGACCACAACAAUCUUGUCAAAUACGUGAGGCUUCUUUCUCUUCAUCAGCGCAAUUCUCAUCAUGUCAAGGCAUCAUUGAGGGAAAAACGCGUGUCUUGACUGCUUUAAUGUCGAUGGGAGACUUCUUUAAAGGUAAAGCUCAAGUAAGAGACCAACUAUACUGGCAUUGGCCAUGUUUCAUUCUAAGAUGAUAUUCAUUAGACAUCUCCUGGCCGAAGGACCCGAGAAGCUUGUUGGUUCACUUCUGGCUGAUAGAUAUGUGACCCUAUUGAAAGGUUGUAAUGCUUGGUGUGGCCAAAAGUUGGCUAAAGGGGAAAUAAACCUUGAUAUGGGUGACAACAUCAAAAGAGAAGGGAAUGAUACAAGUUUAAUGAUUAAGUUGUUAUAUAAGAGACAUUUUUAUUUAUGUACUUGAGUCUUCAACUGCCUUCAUGCGUAUCUAAAUUUCUUUUCGCGAGAAGAUUUCAUGAGGAAUGAAUUGUCAGGCUAUGUUGAUGUAUGCUUUUCUUAAAAGCUAACCUAUACGUGUCUUGCUACUGUCACUGAAUAAGACACGCUGCAGACCACUUUGAGAAUUUAGUUUUUCCUAAAAUUCUCCACAUCCUCCGUGGCCGCUUGAGUAUCUCUUUUUCACUUUUUUGUAAAACAUAGCAAAAAGGAAAGGCAAGAAUAUCCAUGGAUUACAGUCGUUCUUUACCUUUUCUCUGUUUGGGCUGGUAUUAUCGAAAAUAUUUUUUUGGAGUAUGUUUUGUGCUAAUGAUUGGUCUAUUUUUUAUUCUUGUAUUUGUUGAUUGACUCUGAGCUUAAAUGAAGUGAUAUAUCAGUGAAGAUUCACUUGAUCGACCUCAGUUUGUUUGAGACUAAUGCGUCAUUAUUCUUAUUGUUAUUGUACAGGUUACAAGUAGUAGUGAGCAAGGGACAAGAGGAUGUGGGAAAACAGGAGGAACAAUAAAGUCACCAAGAUUAAUGUUUAGGAUAUUUGAUAUGGAAAUGUACACAAUUGAUCCUUUGAUUUCUCAACUUGCAGAACUAAUGUCCUUCUGUCCAAAAUAUUCGUACCCACAGCCACAUCCCUACCCUGUUUCCCCAGCUACACAACCAUCAAAACUUCAAGCUCCACCACUGCCUCCAUUUCCACCUACUCCCUCAUUGCCUCCUUUACUCCCAAUGGAUGCUUUCCCCUAUUUGGAAACUUAAGCUUGCUCACACCAGUAAGUUAUUAUUGUCCAACUCACACUUUUAUAACAAUAAAGUAUGAAUCUAACUUAUUUAUUUCUCACAUACCAAAAGUUUUUACACUAUAAAAUUACCUAAACGAUAAGUGGAGGUAACCGUCUGUAAGAUAACUUGCCGCUACAACAUGUUAAAAUAGAUUGAGAGUGUAAUAUUCUUUCUACUGUCUGUGUAUAUGAGAUAUUCCAGCUCAACUUACUUAUUCUCUUGAAAUUGUUUUUAUUGAUAUUGUACAUAUGGACCAUUAUUUUGUCCCCAUCUUUAACUAUUUUUUUUACUAUAAGUUUUUCUCAAUGUUGGUGUAGCGUAGUCAAAUAGGGAUAAAAAUAUGUUUUCGUGUUGAGACCGGAGAAAGAAAAUUGUACAACUUUGUAAUACAAUGGCAACAUUUGUUCUACAAUAACCUUGGAUGAUACCACAAUAAGACAUUUCUUUGGUCCCAAUUUAUGUAGUAUAGUUUAAUUAGGGGCGAAGAUAAAAUCGAAUUAUUUUUAAAUAUAGAAAUGUAAUGUUGUUUUACUACAGGAGCUGGAUGAUGCCAGAGUACAGAUGCUACUAGAAAAUUAUAAAUCCAGAUUCAAAAGUAGGUGUUGUAUUUGGUCUACUUGUUGCUAGAAAAUAUAGAAAUGAUAUAACACUAUGGGAAGGAAUGAAAGGCAGGGGAAAACCUUAUAAAACUUUGUUGAGGGAAGGGACAACUGCAUUUUUGAAUUCUUAUAACAGUGUACAGUUUCCUUAUCAUCCAUUUGGGGUCAUUCAACCUAUGAAUUUGGCAUUAAUGAGAUCAACACAACAAGUUCUCCAUACAACUUUGGGUUUCUUGAGGGCUAAUUCUGGCAAUGGAAGAUUCACUUGUCAUUAGCUCAACACCUUACGAUGUGCUUGAAUUGUAUGGACUGACUUUUUUUUUUUUCAAAUAUUCAAAUGGUACUCUGUUUUGCGCUUCAAUCGGUGGAUCAAAUAAAAGGUCAAGUAAUGCACCACAAGAAUACCAUGGCUCUUUGACGAUUCUAUCAAUGCAAGAAAAUUAACAUUGAUGAAAUCAAAAAUCGCGCCUUCAACAAUUUGUAUUUAAUUUUCUACAAAUGCUUUCUGCAUUAACAUAUGAAAUUCAACUGUAUAAAGCUCUUUUAUCGUCGCUACGAUGGAAGCUGAA